This 351-nucleotide ribosomal RNA is filed under the name uncultured bacterium. RNAcentral's name for it is "bacterial SSU rRNA". It matches the Rfam family "Bacterial small subunit ribosomal RNA", at positions 29 to 409 of the family's 1533-position model. The record is from RNAcentral.
AACGAACGCUGGCGACAUGCCUAACACAUGCAAGUCGAACGAGACCUUCGGUCUAGUGGCGCACGGGUGCGUAACACGUGGGAAUUUGCCUCGGGUAGUGGAAUAACUCAGGGAAACUUGAGCUAAUACCAUAUAAUGUCUUCGGACCAAAGAUUUAUCGCCCUGAGAUAAGCCCGCGUAGGAUUAGCUAGUUGGUGGGUAAAGGCUCACCAAGGCGACGAUCCUUAGCUGGUCUGAGAGGAUGAUCAGCCACACUGGGACUGAGACACGGCCCAGGCUCCUACGGGAGGCAGCAGUGGGGAAUACUGGACAAUGGGCGAAAGCCUGAUCCAGCAAUGCCGCGUGAGUGAU